This 388-nucleotide ribosomal RNA is filed under the name Picozoa sp. Its description in RNAcentral is "partial small subunit ribosomal RNA". It matches the Rfam family "Eukaryotic small subunit ribosomal RNA", at positions 582 to 975 of the family's 1831-position model. The record is from RNAcentral. Lineage: Eukaryota; Picozoa.
AUUCCAGCUCCAAUAGCGUAUAUUAAAGUUGUUGCAGUUAAAAAGCUCGUAGUCGGAUUUUGGCAUCACGCCGAACUGUCUGCCGAUUGGUAAGUACGGUUUGGCGGGUGCUUCCUUCCGGAGGCUCGUUCCCUUCUUCAUUGAAGGGUUCGUUGGUUCCGGGUCUUUUACUUUGAGAAAAUUAGAGUGUUCAAAGCAGGCCUAUGCUCUGAAUAGGUUAGCAUGGAAUAAUAGAAUAGGACUUUGGUUCUAUUUUGUUGGUUUGUACUCCAAGGUAAUGACUAAUAGGGAUAGUUGGGGGUAUUCGUAUUCAAUUGUCAGAGGUGAAAUUCUUGGAUUUAUGGAAGACGAACUACUGCGAAAGCAUUUACCAAGGAUGUUUUCAUCG